This 1448-nucleotide long non-coding RNA is filed under the name Struthio camelus australis. Its description in RNAcentral is "lncRNA (ENSSCUG00000009941.1)". Lineage: Eukaryota; Metazoa; Chordata; Aves; Struthioniformes; Struthionidae. The record is from RNAcentral.
GAUAGUGGGACCCUUGGGCUCUGCAGACAGCAGUUUCCCUGUGUCGGCCACAGGGAAACCUGUUGUGGCUAAGGCAGAAGCUGCGUGAAGCGUGUCUCAGCGGGAAGCUGUUCUUGGCACUGCUUACCUUUAGCUCACUGACACAGCAUACCUGUCAUCGCGGGUGACGGUUUCUGUGAAACUCUCUAUCGUGUCUGCUCAUAACCAGGCCAGCCUGGCCUUUCCAGAAUCACUCUUUCUUCCACUGUGCCUACAGUUUUUUCUAAUUGUUUGACUUUGAAGUACUUCCAGAAGGAUCCGUUUGCUGUGCCAGAGGAAAAGUAUGUGGAAAGAUGGAAAGGGAUUUCUUAAAGCAUAAGCAAGGCUUUCAGAUGUGUUUCAUCCUCUUUGUUGUGAAAAGACAGCCGUAUAACACAUUUUCAGUAGUUACCAUUACCUAUUCUGUUCCUGUGAAUGUCAAGAUGCAGCACGUGUGUUGGACAGCACUGAAGUUUCCCGUUAUGAUGUUCAGUCUUAAAGCAGUAGCCAGACGAGGUAGGGGUUCUUCAAAUGCCAGCAGCGUUUUCAACAACUUAUGCAAAUGUUAUUUUCUUGAAUGUCUGACUCGUGUCCUUCUCUUUCCUCGUGCUAUCUACGUUUAAAUGAAAUUCAGCAGAGUAAACAUAGCACUACUCCUAUGCAUGCAUUCACAAACGAGUCUGAGAGCAGUUUGUUAAUCCACGCGCAGUUUGUCAUCUUUAUAAAACAACUGGUCAGAAACUGACUACCCCAAAACGUAGCAGGAGAAUGAACAACAGUGAGCCACCAUAAUCUUCAUCACUUGUGGCCUCCCAGGCUGUGUUUGCAUCAGGAAAGAAAGGUCAAUUCUUUGUUCACCUCCUGUAAGAUACCUGAUUCUGAGCUCAAGCUGUAGGAUGCAUUAAAUAAGCUCUUCUGGAGUUAAUGGACAUAUGCCAAUAUCAUUAGCAAUAGCAUUACGGUCCUGAUAUGUGGCUCAGUGCAGAGCCUGGAGGGGCUGGGCAUAGGUACCAGUUUACAGUACUUUGAACUUUGGAUUAGUGGGGCCAAACUGGUCUCCAGCAUGUUCUAGAGCAGCCUCUGUUACUUUAUCUCCUAGUGUCUCAUAGGAAGCCGGAAAGGCCAGCCCCACCGGGUGCAGAUCACCUAGGCAUGACGGUCACAUCCUGCUUUCAGCCACGGUCCUGGCUGCAUGCAUCCUGGGGCAAUCCUUAACCAGCAGAGACGGUGCAACGUUCUGUCUGGAAUGGUUUUUAUAGGAAGAUAGACUUGUAGAAUUAUAGUCAUUGUGUAAUGCAGUGGUAAACUAUAAAGUUGCUGUGUGGCUCUCCAUUAGGUAAGUUAUCUUAUCAUGCACUGUUUUUCACUAAAGCAAUUUUUUCAUUUUAGUAAUUGAAUAUUUUCAGUAUAUUUUGCUUCUUACCUUGAAG